GUGCUGGCUUCAGCAGCACAUAUACUGAAAAUGGGAACAAGGCAGAGAAGAUUAGAGCGCCCCCUGCACAAAGGAUGACAUGCAAAUUCAAGAAGCAGCCCAGAUUGCA
Molecule: small nuclear RNA, 109 nt
Filed under: Camelus dromedarius (Arabian camel)
Lineage: Eukaryota; Metazoa; Chordata; Mammalia; Artiodactyla; Camelidae
Source: RNAcentral